RNAcentral lists this ribosomal RNA (299 nucleotides) under uncultured Actinomycetales bacterium. Its description in RNAcentral is "partial 16S ribosomal RNA". It matches the Rfam family "Bacterial small subunit ribosomal RNA", at positions 504 to 802 of the family's 1533-position model. The record is from RNAcentral. Lineage: Bacteria; Bacillati; Actinomycetota; Actinomycetes; Actinomycetales.
UGUGCCAGCAGCCGCGGUAAUACGUAGGGUGCGAGCGUUGUCCGGAAUUACUGGGCGUAAAGGGCUCGUAGGUGGUUUGUCGCGUCGUCUGUGAAAUUCCGGGGCUUAACUCCGGGCGUGCAGGCGAUACGGGCAUAACUUGAGUACUGUAGGGGUAACUGGAAUUCCUGGUGUAGCGGUGAAAUGCGCAGAUAUCAGGAGGAACACCGAUGGCGAAGGCAGGUUACUGGGCAGUUACUGACGCUGAGGAGCGAAAGCAUGGGUAGCGAACAGGAUUAGAUACCUGGUAGUCAAGGGCG